UUACGGCCACAUCACGUUGAAACACCGAUUCCCGUACGAUCACAAAAGAUAAGAAACGUUGAGACUGGUCAGUACCUGGAUGGGUGACCGUUUGGGAAUCUCAGGUUCUGUAAG
Acanthosepion pharaonis is the source of this 114-nucleotide non-coding RNA. The record is from the annotation of a GenBank genome assembly. Lineage: Eukaryota; Metazoa; Mollusca; Cephalopoda; Sepiida; Sepiidae.